UACGUAGGGACCGAGCGUUGUCCGGAUUUAUUGGGCGUAAAGCGCGUGUAGGCGGCUGGGUAGGUCCGCUGUGAAAACUCGAGGCUCAACCUCGAGACGUCGGCGGAAACCAUCCAGCUAGAGUCCGGAAGAGGAGAGUGGAAUUCCUGGUGUAGCGGUGAAAUGCGCAGAUAUCAGGAAGAACACCCGUGGCGAAAGCGGCUCUCUGGGACGGUACUGACGCUGAGACGCGAAAGCGUGGGGAGCGAACAGG
RNAcentral lists this ribosomal RNA (253 nucleotides) under uncultured bacterium. RNAcentral describes it as "partial 16S ribosomal RNA". It matches the Rfam family "Bacterial small subunit ribosomal RNA", at positions 524 to 776 of the family's 1533-position model. The record is from RNAcentral.